Molecule: ribosomal RNA, 127 nt
Filed under: Eptatretus burgeri (inshore hagfish)
Lineage: Eukaryota; Metazoa; Chordata; Myxini; Myxiniformes; Myxinidae
Source: RNAcentral
GCCUACGGCCACACCACCCUGAAUACGCCGGAUCUCGUCUGAUCUCGGAAGCUAAGCAGGUUCGGGCCCAGUUACCAGGUUAGUACUUGGAUGGGAGACCGCCUGGGAACACCAGGUGUUGUCGGCU